Molecule: ribosomal RNA, 253 nt
Filed under: uncultured bacterium
Lineage: Bacteria
Description: partial 16S ribosomal RNA
Rfam family: Bacterial small subunit ribosomal RNA
Source: RNAcentral
UACGUAGGCAGCAAGCGUUGUUCGGAAUUACUGGGCGUAAAGAGUGUGUAGGCGGUGUUCUAAGUCUGGUGUGAAAUCUCCCGGCUCAACUGGGAGGGUGCGCCGGAAACUAGAAUGCUAGAGGGUGGGAGAGGAAAGCGGAAUUCCUGGUGUAGCGGUGAAAUGCGUAGAUAUCAGGAGGAACACCUGCGGUGUAGACAGCUUUCUGGACCACUUCUGACGCUGAGACACGAAAGCGUGGGUAGCAAACAGG